UUUCAGUUAAUGACCCGGAUGAAGCCUGUCCUUCAAACACAGGUAAGUGGUCUCUGCUGAAGUCACUGGGAUCUUGGCACAUGCUCAUGAAGGUGGAGGUUGCCCAUCUUUAUUACUCACUAAAUUAUGUCUUAGAAUCUACUGUGUUAUUUCUGCUUGCACCAGGACUUAGAGAUUGCUGCAUAUUUAAAAAUAAAAAAUAAAAACAACUUAAAUCUACCAGACAAUGGUGUCUAGUCACGAAUAAAAAAGAAAAAAAAAAAAAGCUUUACAGUGAUAUGAAGGUAAAGAAAUGAGUUCCAUAUGGCUGUGUGUGUUUAAGAGCACAGAUUUAGCAGGGAGGCAAUGGGGGCUGGGACCCUUUAAUUUCUGCUAUGCUCUGUGUCACAGUGAUGAGGGAAAGUUCUUGCUGGCACCAACGCGUUGCACCUAGCCCUGCUAUGAGAUACCCACUCUCCAGUGUCCUGCCUAUCCCACGUGCUCUGAGUUUCUCAGCCUGAGUAAAUCAUUUUUCACUCAGCUACCAAAGAUUUUUAUGCUUGUGGUUUCCCAGAGUCAAAUCCUUGGUGUUGGUCAGAAGAUGUCACGUAUGUGCAUGUCAUUUACCUUGUAAACCACAACUUUUUAAAGAAGCAGAUGCAAAGUAUGUAGGAGAACUAAGAGCGCUGACCCAAUCACAACAGCAAUCUCUUUUUAGAUCGUUACAGUAUGUAACAUCUCUGAGUGAAAUGGAGUUAAUCAUCCAAACCUGUAAUUUUCAAGUAAUCUCCAAUUCUGGAUUGUUGUUAUGUCAUUACCAGCAGUAGCCAGCAUUUGCAAAGGAGGCAGCAGAGAGUUUCUGUUAAAAUGAAAUCAAAAAUAUUUUUUAUCAGUGGCAUGUUUAAAAGCUGAAGCAUCUGAAUGCUUUUUUGCAGUCUGUAUCAGAGAGUCAUACCUGGUGAAUCUCUGCCUAAAUCAGUGGCAGCAGAGGGAGCGUGUAACAAAGAAGAGAAAAAAUCGCCUCGUGUAAGAUUAUGGAAAUGCCAUGCAAGAGGCAUAACACGGCUGUGUCCCGAUCGGGCCAAGUACCCUUUGGAGAAGUUUUGCUCCAGAUGCAUCAGCUCAGGGCGGCUGCUGCUACCGAGGAGUCCCGAGAUGCUCCAGCCUUCUCCAUCCAUGUACCACAGGGGACCCACGGUGCAUUCCGGGAGCCAAACGCAUGACUCAGAUCUCUGUUCCUCCAGCGGCUCGAACUGCACGCUGCUGGUAGCUCUGCACCAAACCAAACCCGUGCUGGACCCAGCAAAACCUCUCCUGGUCAGUGGCGGAGGAAGCACAAGCACACGUAGCUCUGCACGGCUACCCCACAGGAGCCAUCCGAGGUGUAGGUCGGGCUGUUAUUAUCCCUGCUUGGGAGAAAGGAAACUGAAACACGCCUCAGGUCACCCGAGGAAAUCUGUGCUGGAUUAGCACCUGAAUCAUUUGUUCUGGUCACAGAAAUGCUAAUUUCAUUAGCAUUUCAACAUCUGAGCAGAGCCCUGAGUGAUAUGGCCACGAAGAUGCAGGUAUUUCCAGCCCCAGUCCUACCCCACUAAGCUUAGCGGUGAAUUUCUUUGGCAGUGGAUUGAAAUCUAACCAAAUAUUUUCUUUGGGCUUGGUUCUCCUUUCAUUGGCAUUGUUUUAUGCAGAACUG
Molecule: long non-coding RNA, 1672 nt
Organism: Cairina moschata (Muscovy duck)
Lineage: Eukaryota; Metazoa; Chordata; Aves; Anseriformes; Anatidae
Source: Ensembl